GGGCUCGUAGCUCAUUGGGUAGAGCACCCGUCUUGCAAACGGGAGGCGGCCGGUUCGAACCCGGCCGGGUCCA
RNAcentral lists this transfer RNA (73 nucleotides) under Actinoplanes sp. TBRC 11911. It matches the Rfam family "tRNA". Rfam says of the family: Transfer RNA (tRNA) molecules are approximately 80 nucleotides in length. Their secondary structure includes four short double-helical elements and three loops (D, anti-codon, and T loops). The record is from Rfam by way of RNAcentral. Lineage: Bacteria; Bacillati; Actinomycetota; Actinomycetes; Micromonosporales; Micromonosporaceae.